UAGGGAAUCUUCCACAAUGGACGAAAGUCUGAUGGAGCAACGCCGCGUGAGUGAUGAAGGUUUUCGGAUCGUAAAACUCUGUUGUAAGGGAAGAACAAGUACGUUAGGAAAUGAACGUACUUUGACGGUACCUUAUUAGAAAGCCACGGCUAACUACGUGCCAGCAGCCGCGGUAAUACGUAGGUGGCAAGCGUUGUCCGGAUUUAUUGGGCGUAAAGCGCGCGCAGGCGGUUUCUUAAGUCUGAUGUGAAAGCCCACGGCUUAACCGUGGAGGGUCAUUGGAAACUGGGAGACUUGAGUACAGAAGAGGAAAGUGGAAUUCCAAGUGUAGCGGUGAAAUGCGUAGAGAUUUGGAGGAACACCAGUGGCGAAGGCGACUUUCUGGUCUGCAACUGACGCUGAGGCGCGAAAGCAUGGGGAGCAAAC
This 426-nucleotide ribosomal RNA is filed under the name uncultured bacterium. Its description in RNAcentral is "bacterial SSU rRNA". It matches the Rfam family "Bacterial small subunit ribosomal RNA", at positions 355 to 773 of the family's 1533-position model. The record is from RNAcentral.